RNAcentral lists this ribosomal RNA (219 nucleotides) under uncultured bacterium. RNAcentral's name for it is "partial 16S ribosomal RNA". It matches the Rfam family "Bacterial small subunit ribosomal RNA", at positions 328 to 539 of the family's 1533-position model. The record is from RNAcentral.
ACGCUCGACACCUACGGGAGGUAGCAGUGAGGAAUAUUGGUCAAUGGACGCAAGUCUGAACCAGCCAUGCCGCGUGCAGGAUGACGGCUCUAUGAGUUGUAAACUGCUUUUGUACGAGGGUAAACGCAGAUACGUGUAUCUGUCUGAAAGUAUCGUACGAAUAAGGAUCGGCUAACUCCGUGCCUAACAGCCGCGGUAAUCUGAGCGGGCUGGCAAGGC